Molecule: ribosomal RNA, 468 nt
Filed under: uncultured bacterium
Lineage: Bacteria
Description: partial 16S ribosomal RNA
Rfam family: Bacterial small subunit ribosomal RNA
Source: RNAcentral
GACGAACGCUGGCGGCGUGCUUAACACAUGCAAGUCGAACGGAAAGGCUCCAGCUUGCUGGAGUACUCGAGUGGCGAACGGGUGAGUAACACGUGGGUGAUCUGCCCUGCACUUCGGGAUAAGCCUGGGAAACUGGGUCUAAUACCGGAUAGGACCGCACUUUGGUGUGUGUGGUGGAAAGGUUUUUCUGGUGUGGGAUGAGCUCGCGGCCUAUCAGUUUGUUGGUGGGGUAAUGGCCUACCAAGACGGCGACGGGUAGCCGGCCUGAGAGGGUGGACGGUCACAUUGGGACUGAGAUACGGCCCAGACUCCUACGGGAGGCAGCAGUGGGGAAUAUUGCACAAUGGGGGAAACCCUGAUGCAGCGACGCCGCGUGGGUGAUGAAGGCCUUCGGGUUGUAAACUCCUUUCGCUAGGGACGAAGCUUUUUGUGACGGUACCUGGAGAAGAAGCACCGGCUAACUACGUG